UAUGUAGUGACGGGCUUCGCAGAAGGGGCUUCGUCCCAUCGCCAUCUUUGCGGUGGGUUCUGCUGAAGCUGAACGGUCCUGCAUAUUGUUUAUUUUUUUAAGCCCUGGGCUUUUCAAGCUGAACUUCCUCACUACCAUUAUACUGAAAAAGAGCCCUUGAAAGUUUUGCUCCAUCUUGCAUAUUCUUUUGGAAGUAAAUUGAUUGGACCCUGGUGCCUUAUUUAGUUUGUUUGGUGAGGCCAUGUUUUCCUGGAUGGUCUUGAUUUUUGUGGAUGUUUGUCAGUUUCUGGGCAUUGAACAGGGAAUUGAACAGCUUGGACUUGGAGACUGAGUUAAAACAGAAAUAAGAAGGCGGCAAAAAAAGACUAUACCAGAUUGAAAUGUGUUGGAUAUUCAUAUCACCCAGCACCUCAGAAUGUGGCCAUGGAGGAUGGAGGCAGAGAUUGAAGUGACGCAUCUUCAAGCCUAGGAACACUAAGGAUUGCUGGUAGUCACCAGAAGCUGGAAGAGGCAAGAAAUAUAUCCUUUCCAAGAGCUUUCAGAGAGAGCGCCAUUCUGCCAACACCUUGAUUAUAUGCUUCAAGCUUCUAGAAUUGUGAGAUAAUAAAUUUUGUUGUUAUAA
Molecule: non-coding RNA, 622 nt
Organism: Callithrix jacchus (white-tufted-ear marmoset)
Lineage: Eukaryota; Metazoa; Chordata; Mammalia; Primates; Cebidae
Source: RefSeq, a predicted model, not a curated record